This 73-nucleotide transfer RNA is filed under the name Vicugna pacos (alpaca). Its description in RNAcentral is "tRNA-Ala (AGC) (tRNA-Ala-AGC-165-1)". It matches the Rfam family "tRNA". From Rfam's summary of the family: Transfer RNA (tRNA) molecules are approximately 80 nucleotides in length. Lineage: Eukaryota; Metazoa; Chordata; Mammalia; Artiodactyla; Camelidae. The record is from RNAcentral.
GGAGGGUAUAGCUCAGUGGUAGAGCACAUGCUUAGCAUGCAUGAGGUUCUGGGUUCAAUCCCCAGUACCUCCA